Carassius gibelio (silver crucian carp) is the source of this 1710-nucleotide long non-coding RNA. RefSeq lists it as uncharacterized. NCBI's taxonomy places the organism in Eukaryota, Metazoa, Chordata, Actinopteri, Cypriniformes, Cyprinidae. The transcript is spliced from 6 exons. The record is from RefSeq and is a predicted model, not a curated record.
UAAAAUAAACAAUUUACUUAGCAAAUGGUGAUAAUGUUUGUUAAUGAAAGAGAGUACGGGACAAAUUAACAUUUAAACCUUAAACUAGCAGCGCACGUCACUUUCUGAAUGAGGUGCGCGACGUGCGCGUGCCCGUCAUUUUGUAACGGUCAACUUCCAGCGGACGGACACGGAGGAAAGGGCCUGACAUCCACCAGUUGAGUCCAUGAUUCAGGGAAGAGACAGUCUGGGCAGCAGCAACAAGACAACUAUUACAAGUAGAGAUGGGUUUCAAGAACUGACACAACCACAUAUCCUCCAAAUCAUCUCUGCGUGGAUGGCAGCAAGGAUCCAGGAUCAAGAGAUCAUUCUUCAUGGAGACUGUUCCACAGGAAGCAGUUUCUCCUGGAUUUGAGGGAAAGAUUAAAAACAAGGAGGUCUGGGAAUGACUGAAGGGAUCUGACAGCAGUGAGGGAAGGAAGUAAUCACCAGAAUCUCAGAGGAUGUUGACAGCAGGCCCAGGAUGAAGAAGAGGAGGAAGAACACGUUUAACAAUUUUCUCAUUAGCUUGCCAUGUGUUAUAAUAAAAACAAUGAACAUGACUACAAUAAUAUGCUAAAUGUUAUUAAAAGAUUCCAGUUUGCAAGAAGUCUGAGUGUCUGACUCUACACUAGAGGAACUCUUUUCUGAAGAAGAUCAGGUGCUGAGAAGGAGCCUUGUUCUACAGCAAAACACUGCAAGCCUCCUGUCCUUCCCUCAGAAGAGCCUGUCUUCUGCUGCUGGGGUAAGAAACACACUCUUCCUCUUCUCUAUCAGCUGUCCAGCACCUAACUCUGCCUCCUCCGCACUGUCUGAAAGAGUCUUCUCCACAGUCAGUAAUCACAGAUUCUUCUGAGAAAGUCGAUAUGUUCAUUUUCUUAAAAAACUUUGUUUUUUUCGGGUGGGACAAAUAAUACAGGAGAGAUGCUAGAAAUCUCUAUAUUGUUCAUUUUUCAUAUCUUUACGCUUUAUGAAUGUUCUUCUUCUGAGAAGCUCAAAAAUUAUGGUUCUUUGGUAAUUGCUUUAUUGUUUAGGUUUAUCCUCUGAUAGUGAGCACAGAGCCCUGAUCAUGACAUGCAAGAAAAAGAAAGAAAUCAUGUCCAUGAUUUACUAAUUCAUUCCCUCUAUGUACUAAAACGUGCACGAUUACUUUUACAUUUCAUUGAUUUGCUAAAUCGUAUGCACAAUUUACUAAUUCUUUCUCUUGAUGUAUAAAUAGUGUACACGUUUUAGCAAAUCGAGGGAAUGAAAUAGAAAAUCGUGUGCAUGAAUUAGCCUAAAUUUUUUCCUGCAUGUCGUGUAAUUAAAGCACAUCACCACCAGACAUUUAUACCAGGAGCCUCAUAUAUGACGCUCACAGUUUUACUUUGUGCAGUAUCUCGGUGCAGUAUCUGCUGAAUUGUUUCAUAUCUAUUUAUCAUGUAUUUUUCGUUGCACUAAAUUAUGUUGUAUAAAUAAGUUUACUGACAAUUAUUUUUAAUUUUCACUAAUAACGUCAUUAACCAUCUCCCCAUCUUUAAGACAAAAAUUCUCUAUUGUUUAUAUUGUGUAAUCUAUGAAUUUAUGUGUUUAGUUUUCUGUGCUCAUAACUUAGUAACAUUUUGCAUGGUUAAAGAACAGGUGCAAUGUUCAAAAUGUUUUUAUACAAAGUAGUGCUGAAUAAAUAUUGAUUUGUGAAUGAAUUCAGUGUGU